RNAcentral lists this ribosomal RNA (489 nucleotides) under uncultured bacterium. RNAcentral describes it as "bacterial SSU rRNA". It matches the Rfam family "Bacterial small subunit ribosomal RNA", at positions 28 to 535 of the family's 1533-position model. The record is from RNAcentral.
GAUAAACGCUGGCGGCGUGCUUAACACAUGCAAGUCGAACGAAGUUUUUCUUUCGGGAGGAACUUAGUGGCGGACGGGUGAGUAACGCGUGGGUAACCUGCCCUGUACAGGGGGACAACAGCUGGAAACGGCUGCUAAUACCGCAUAAGCCCUUAGCACUGCAUGGUGCAUAGGGAAAAGGAGCAAUCCGGUACAGGAUGGACCCGCGUCUGAUUAGCCAGUUGGCAGGGUAACGGCCUACCAAAGCGACGAUCAGUAGCCGAUCUGAGAGGAUGUACGGCCACAUUGGGACUGAGACACGGCCCAGACUCCUACGGGAGGCAGCAGUGGGGAAUAUUGCACAAUGGAGGAAACUCUGAUGCAGCGACGCCGCGUGAGUGAAGAAGUAUUUCGGUAUGUAAAGCUCUAUCAGCAGGGAAGAAAAUGACGGUACCUGACUAAGAAGCACCGGCUAAAUACGUGCCAGCAGCCGCGGUAAGAGUACUCUAU